Mus caroli (Ryukyu mouse) is the source of this 241-nucleotide long non-coding RNA. RefSeq lists it as uncharacterized. The record is from RefSeq and is a predicted model, not a curated record. Lineage: Eukaryota; Metazoa; Chordata; Mammalia; Rodentia; Muridae.
AGAAUUGGUGGGGUGAAGUGAGAAGUGAAAAAGGUGUCCAUAAAAGCAACAAAACAGGAGCAGCAUCACUCAGAUGCUCAGAACCAAAAAAUGUAAGAUUGCAAUCAGAUUGGAAAUGGUUACAGAAAUGUUUAACAGCCCCUCAACUCUAUGCUAUAAUCAGACCAGGUUCAAGACAUUAGAGCCACGUGAUGCAAGGGGCAGGAACCCCAGAACGGCCUUCUGGAGACUGAGAAGUCAC